RNAcentral lists this transfer RNA (74 nucleotides) under Alphaproteobacteria bacterium. RNAcentral describes it as "tRNA-Arg". It matches the Rfam family "tRNA". Rfam says of the family: Transfer RNA (tRNA) molecules are approximately 80 nucleotides in length. Their secondary structure includes four short double-helical elements and three loops (D, anti-codon, and T loops). Lineage: Bacteria; Pseudomonadati; Pseudomonadota; Alphaproteobacteria. The record is from RNAcentral.
GCGCCCGUAGCUCAAUUGGAUAGAGCGUCAGACUACGGAUUUGAAGGUUGGGAGUUCGAAUCUUCUCGGGCGUG